AAAUAUGUAUGAUAACAACUUUUUAAUCAUGACGAAUCAUCUUACAAGACAAAUACAUAAAAUAAUUAGUUAUUAAAUAUUAAUGAUGUUUAUAAUAAAAAAAAUAAAAAAAAAUGAAUGACUUAAAGUUUGAUAUAAAAGAAAAUAUAAUAAAAUAUAUACAAAUUGUAGUGAUUAUAGUCUAUAUUAAGUAAACAUAAAAAAUUUAUAAAAAAAAUAA
Molecule: long non-coding RNA, 220 nt
Filed under: Lathyrus oleraceus (garden pea)
Lineage: Eukaryota; Viridiplantae; Streptophyta; Magnoliopsida; Fabales; Fabaceae
Description: Pisum sativum (pea) long non-coding RNA (PSAT_LNC011210)
Source: RNAcentral